This is a long non-coding RNA of Alligator mississippiensis (American alligator), 1081 nucleotides long. RefSeq lists it as uncharacterized. Lineage: Eukaryota; Metazoa; Chordata; Crocodylia; Alligatoridae. The record is from RefSeq and is a predicted model, not a curated record. The transcript has 3 exons.
UGGCCCUGAAUGAGUUUCAGCAGUGGCUCUGUGACCUCUACCCUCAAACUAGGCUGGUACUACUCGCCAGCCACAUGUCUUGGUGCUUAGGAGCCCCACAGCUGGGACUCAUGGGAAGUGCUGGGCUCAUCUUCCAGGAAGGGCCCUGGGGAGGAACCGAUAGCAGGUCUACGAGCUUUGAGAGGACCAGGAAUUGAGCGGCUGGAUGGAAAUGCUGAUUAGCAACAGUCAGCAGCUUUGACUGCGUCCUACUUGAGAGCUGCCUCCGUGCUCACCCAGGCACACCCAGGGGCAUUGCCAGGAGUGCCUGUCAGUGGGAGCAGGGCUGUGGCUUGGGCAUUGCAUUGGUUUAAAUCAAGUGUUUCAUCUUCUCCCUCACUGUGAUCGUGGCACCAUGUCUUUCACUGCAGACACUUAAGAUGCUACUUGGGGCUGCACGGUGGCAGUACCAGUGCCCACAAGAAGGAGGGUUUGGGGCCAAAGACCUUCCAAUACCGUCCCAGGAAGACACGAUAACAGCAGAACCUCAACAGCUGCUCGGUGGCAGAGCUCUGGUGGGAGAGGACCUCAGGGCUUGGUGUCUGCCUCCUUUUGGCAUUGGACUCCUUUCCCUCUCGCUACUUGGGGAUUGAAAUGUCUCAAGGUCCAGCUUGUAAUAAAAUGUUCAACUUGUUUCUGGCAUUGUCCAGCAGGGCCAGCCCACUGCAGGGGAGUCUGGCAGGGUGGAGCAGGGGCUCCGGCACCCUUCAGACAGGAGCAGCCGAGGCAGCGGGAGACACCAACACUGCCACUGAAGAUGCUUCUCGAGGCUGUACUCCGGCAGUUCCCGCGUCCCGCCGGGAGCACGGACUGUGACCCGCGGCCCCCAGCUCCCUCCCGGACCUUGUCUGCAGGACGUUGAGCCCGGAGAACUGGAUGUGGGGCUGCAGGGUGUAGGGCAGAAAAUGUACACCUGAAAGCUACUCCCCCUGCUCUGCCCCCUUCCUCUCCAGCCCUCCCCAGCCCCCCCGCCUCUCCUCUCCCCCUAUAUAUUGUGUUAGGUUAGGUUAAGUGAUAUUAUAGAGUUUUAUUUCAAAUUAUA